This 253-nucleotide ribosomal RNA is filed under the name uncultured bacterium. RNAcentral describes it as "partial 16S ribosomal RNA". It matches the Rfam family "Bacterial small subunit ribosomal RNA", at positions 524 to 776 of the family's 1533-position model. The record is from RNAcentral.
UACAGAGGGUGCAAACGUUGUUCGGAAUUACUGGGCGUAAAGCGCGUGUAGGCUGUCGCGAAAGUCGGGUGUGAAAUCCCUGGGCUCAACUCAGGAAGUGCACUCGAAACUACGUGACUAGAGUCUCGGAGAGGGAAGCGGAAUUCUGGGUGUAGAGGUGAAAUUCGUAGAUAUCCAGAGGAACACCAGUGGCGAAGGCGGCUUCCUGGACGAUCACUGACGCUGAGACGCGAAAGCGUGGGGAGCAAACAGG